GGGAAUGUGGCUUAGUGGUAGAGCGCUUGCCUAGCAUGCAUGAAGCCCUGGGUUCGAUUCCUCAGUACCA
Non-coding RNA from Dipodomys ordii (Ord's kangaroo rat), 70 nucleotides. Lineage: Eukaryota; Metazoa; Chordata; Mammalia; Rodentia; Heteromyidae. The record is from Rfam.